GACGAACGCUGGCGGCGUGCUUAACACAUGCAAGUCGAACGGAAAGGCCCCUUUGGGGGUACUCGAGUGGCGAACGGGUGAGUAACACGUGAGUAACCUGCCCUUGACUUCGUGAUAACUUCAGGAAACUGGGGCUAAUACCGGAUAGGAAUCCUUGCUGCAUGGUGGGGGUUGGAAAGCUUCGGCGGUUUUGGAUGGACUCGCGGCUUAUCAGCUGGUUGGUGGGGUAGUGGCUUACCAAGGCUUUGACGGGUAGCCGGCCUGAGAGGGCGACCGGCCACAUUGGGACUGAGAUACGGCCCAGACUCCUAAGGGAGGCAGCAGUGGGGAAUAUUGCACAAUGGGCGGAAGCCGGAUGCAGCAAGGCCGCGUGCGGGAUGACGGCCUUCGGGUUGUAAACCGCUUUCAGCAGGGGCGAAGCUUGUGGUGACGGUACCUGCAGAAGAAGCACCGGCUAACUACGUG
Molecule: ribosomal RNA, 465 nt
Filed under: uncultured bacterium
Lineage: Bacteria
Description: partial 16S ribosomal RNA
Rfam family: Bacterial small subunit ribosomal RNA
Source: RNAcentral